Molecule: long non-coding RNA, 819 nt
Organism: Malus domestica (apple)
Lineage: Eukaryota; Viridiplantae; Streptophyta; Magnoliopsida; Rosales; Rosaceae
Source: RefSeq, a predicted model, not a curated record
UAUAUAAUAUAAAAUCUACUCAUCAGUCCACAACACUGAGACCCAAACGAGCAGAUCUAAAACAGUUCGUCCAAAAAUCCUCCCUUUGCAGUUUCCUCACAGAUUGAUGCAUCCGUAGCCUUCCAUAACCCAACAACAACGCACCUCCGUGAGUACCCCGCCGUGAUGGAAAAUCGGAAAAACGGAAACCCAAAGUGGGAAGAGCCCUAAUGGUUGCAAAUCCGAGACAACAACACAAGAACACACCCGGAGUCAGCAGCUCAGCUCCACCAAGGAUCUGCAAAUGUUGAGCGUACAACCGAGAGACAACAACCGUGAGCUUCCGGUCUAGUGGUUCCUGAAGGCAGCAUAAAUGACAAAUGUCUCGGCCUCAGCAAAUAAGUAAGAACAAGCGGAUCCAUGACAGAUCCGAAAGAAAGAACGCUCAACUGGAUAUCCAUCAGACAAAAGGCAGGAUACAUCGCAACAGCCAUGACUGAGCAACCUUGAAGGCGGAUCACUGAUAGAUCCGAGGGAAAGAAAAGGGUGGACAAAGAUUAGCUUCAAUAGACAAACGGUACAAGCUGCCAAGAGCCCAGAUCGAUGAAUCUGGGAGGUAAAAUUUCGUAUCCUUGCAAGUGGAAUUGUUGUAGAUCUGGUAAUAAUAGUUGUACUCAGUUCUGUGGUGUAUGGAUCUGUGAUUUAAUUGUGCUUCCUCCAUGCAUCGCACAACUGAGCUGCAGAAAAUUAACUGCUCUAAAUUCUGUUUAUGUGCUGGAUCUGCAACAAUCACCCCCAAACUUGCAUAUGUGAAUGGCUUUUUAUGUUGACUGCUUUAAA